UAGCGCAGCCUGGUAGCGCACUUGCAUGGGGUGCAAGGGGUCGCGAGUUCGAAUCCCGC
This 59-nucleotide transfer RNA is filed under the name Rhodocyclaceae bacterium. RNAcentral's name for it is "tRNA-Pro". It matches the Rfam family "tRNA", at positions 8 to 63 of the family's 71-position model. From Rfam's summary of the family: Transfer RNA (tRNA) molecules are approximately 80 nucleotides in length. Their secondary structure includes four short double-helical elements and three loops (D, anti-codon, and T loops). The record is from RNAcentral. Lineage: Bacteria; Pseudomonadati; Pseudomonadota; Betaproteobacteria; Rhodocyclales; Rhodocyclaceae.